AGUGCCUUUGAAGCACCCACAUCGCUCCCUCCACCCAGGAAACAACAGCUGCUCUGACCACCCCUCAACCCCCACCGAGAGAGAAGCUCACACGACUUUGCUGACCUCCAGCCCCUAUCAGAGACCCGCACGAGAACGCAUUCAGGGCGAAGCCGCCAUUUCUCUGUGGAGGAGAAUCCUGAGGAGAGGCGGGCAGUGGUGAUGAAAGGGCUGGGGAGGGAGCGACAGCUAAGAAAACCUUGAAAGAGAGGCGCCGGAAUCAUCCAGCCGUCCUCCUCGUCAAAGUUAUGGGCAAUUUGACCUGCCAUUUAGCUAUUUCCUGGAGCCGGUUGAGUGGUUCUUAGGGCCGUUUCUGCCUUGAAGACAACACAGGGCUCCAGAAUAAGAAACAUCAGAAGCCUCAACAGGAGACUGCAAAUUCUUGGCGAUUUAAUUGGAGCGUUUUGCUGCUCUUGAAACCAGCUGGAGAGAAGGAGCAAGCAAAGAGCUUGAAGAGCUGGUCUUUGAGUCAGAGCUAAGUAUAGCAUAGCCAAGUGCUUCAUCUCCCCACUCACCAUAUCGCUGUGGUUUUGAAGGAGGUUGGUUCCGGGGAGAAAAUAUUUAAGGCUGAAGAAAUAGAGUUUUCUUCAGUUUGUCUUCUGUGUAAAUAAGAGGGAUGCAAAGCACAAAUGUUAUGCUGGUUCUUAUUGAUUAACAUGCCAACAAGUUGAACAGUUUUUCAGCUGUCCAGCUUUGCCUCUUCUCACGGCCGCUCUGCGGGCGCUGGGGGGCCACUGCGGGGAGGCCAUGCCCGAGGCAACCAAGCUCCCAUCCUGGCCCCUGGUUCCCAGGAUGCCAUCUCUUUCUCUGGGUAACACUGGUACCCACUUCAGGCUGUCUCUGUAUCCUGUCUUUCCUCAUUCACGUCUCUCUUUCUUUGAACUCUCUAUUGGUCUUUCCCUCUUCCUGUGUUUUCACUUGAGAUCCCACACUGAACAGAUAGAUCCAGAGCUCAAGGAGUUUGUAAUCUGGACUUUCCAGAUCGUUCAGUGUCUGCCAGUGGCUGGUGAGGCUGGUGGCUGUCAGAUCUGCAUUGGUUGCUGUCACCCCUAGGAUUUGAGAAGGAAAGAGAGGCAGUGCUUUUGGUGACCUAUGUUCUCAGGAACAUAAAACCUUGGUAACUGCUUCAUGCUAGGCCGGGUGUCUCAACCUGAGGUCUGUAUGAUCUCAAGGGAGAUGAAUAGAGAGCAACUUUCUAAAUAUAUGUGUCUAUGUGCAUUCAGGGGGAAGUUUCAUAGUGUUCACUGAGUUCUCAAGGUUGGCUAUGAGCCAAAUCAUGUACGAACAACCAUCCUGCAAGUGCGACCCCGGUAGGGAGGCUCAGGCACUAAAGGGUGAGUCAAAAUUCAGCUCAGAACAUGGACUCUAAGAGGGUCUUCCCCUCCAUCAGACACCUUAUUUACCUUUUCAGAGCAAAACUAAAGGAAGAAACCAGUAGUUACAUUUGACCCUUCAAAUCUAUCUUUAAUAAAAGAUCAUUUCAUUUGUACUUGGUCUUGUUUGGCGUUGAUUGGCAAAGAUACUAAAUUAUUAGAUUUUAAUAUAUACUUAAAAGAGCAGAUACAGGAAGAAUGAGAUUAUUAUUGCUUUAUCCUUUGAUAUAUCCUAAAACUGUAGAGUUGGAAUGGCACAAAAAGUUCAUGUCGUCCACCUGAAAGCCCCAACCCUCAUCCAGAAUCUUCAUCCAGAAGAUUUUCUCCAGAAAGCCUCAUCCACAAUCUUCUCUAUGCCACUCCCAUCAAAUGGCCAUUUAGCCUCUGGCAGGAAGAGAGAAUGCUUUGUUCACUUAUCCAUUCAUCUCCUCAACUGCACACUCUCAUAUGCUGUGUACUCUGCUAGGUUCUGGAAAGAUGACAAAUAACAGCCUUGCUGGUUCUUAAGGAGCUUACAGUCCAGCUAUCUAGAGAGGCAGACACUGAAUAGUGAUGAAGAAUGUUAGAGCAGGGACAACUCUGAGGCUAAUGGGGAUCACUCUGGUCAGUGGGUGGUGGUGCAUAUAGAAGGCAUUUCCAGAGAAAGUAGUAUCCAAGCUGAGCUGAGAGGGAAGGGGGAGCUGGGAAGAUGGAGGAAGAUUGGGUUGAGGGAAUGCUGUAGGCAAAAGCAGUGGCACAGUCAAGGAUCUAAGAAUGACAGAGAAGGAGCAGGGCUUAGUGGAGAAAGUGAGAGGCCAUGAUCGGAACAGAAAAAGAGAAUAAAUAGAAUAAAUAAAUAGAGUGGUUUCUAUGGCAACCUGCUUGAUUUUAGACAAGUCUGAGUGAGAAAGUUUUCCCUGACCUUUCUACUUAAGGCCUUCUGAUGCUCCUAGGCAGAGAAACAUCUUCAUGGGAUUUAUGAAGACAAACAGACAUCCCAGCCAUGAAUUUUCUCCUCCACUUCCUUAUAGUGGACAUAAAUUUAAAACAAGAAACAAGUUUUGGUUCUGUUUUACCCUUGUUAUGACCACCACCUGGAAUAUUGUUUUGGACCCAUCCACUCAGCCCAAAGGGGAAACCAAUUGCCAUGUUGUGAGCUACCCUGUGGAAAGGCCCAGAUGGCAGAGAACCGAGGGAAGCUGCAAGCUGACAGCAAGCAGAGAACUGAGGUCUUCAGUGUCAAAGUCCAUGAGGACUUGCAGGCUGCUCGCAGGAUGUGCAAAAGCUUGGAAGUGGUUUCUCUUCUCAGCUGGCUCCUUGACGGCAGCCUUGAGAGACCUUGAG
Molecule: long non-coding RNA, 2735 nt
Organism: Odocoileus virginianus texanus
Lineage: Eukaryota; Metazoa; Chordata; Mammalia; Artiodactyla; Cervidae
Source: RefSeq, a predicted model, not a curated record